AUUGAACGCUGGCGGCAUGCUUUACACAUGCAAGUCGAGCGGCAGCGCGGGGGGUAACUCCUGGCGGCGAGCGGCGGACGGGUGAGUAAUGCAUCGGAACGUAUCCCGUAGUGGGGGACAACCCAGCGAAAGCUGGGCUAAUACCGCAUAUGCUCUACGGAGGAAAGCAGGGGACUCGCAAGAGCCUUGUGCUAUGGGAGCGGCCGAUGUCCGAUUAGCUAGUUGGUGGGGUAAAGGCUUACCAAGGCGACGAUCGGUAGCUGGUCUGAGAGGAUGAUCAGCCACACUGGGACUGAGACACGGCCCAGACUCCUACGGGAGGCAGCAGUGGGAAUUUUGGACAAUGGGGCAACCCUGAUCCAGCCAUGCCGCGUGCGGGAAGAAGGCC
Molecule: ribosomal RNA, 388 nt
Filed under: uncultured bacterium
Lineage: Bacteria
Description: bacterial SSU rRNA
Rfam family: Bacterial small subunit ribosomal RNA
Source: RNAcentral